Molecule: unclassified non-coding RNA, 856 nt
Filed under: Leishmania donovani
Lineage: Eukaryota; Euglenozoa; Kinetoplastea; Trypanosomatida; Trypanosomatidae
Description: gene:unknown
Source: RNAcentral
CAUACACACGGGCACUCGCCCACCCAUGCCGUUGUUAACAUAUGCAGGCUCCGCCGUAGCAGUGCGGAUAUGGCAGUUCCUUCGUUGCUCUUUGUUUUUUGCUUUUCGUGGCGGCUGCCGGCAGCGAAGCAAGUCAGCGUCUUUUGCCUAGUCGUUAUUCUCCCUCUUCUCUUCCACAGCCCCGUCGCCUUCUUCUGUGGGUGUGUGUGUUUUCUCAACUACUAGUCACUGUUGUUCGCGUGUUGGUCUGGUAUCUCUGUUGCCGCCGUGGCUUGCAGAGGGAGAGGUGGGAGUUGAUAUGUGGCUAGUGCCCAUCGAGAGGGGUGGGCCUUCGUGGGUUGCCGUGGGUGUGUGCGGUGGAGGUGCAGUGCUUGUGCUCCUCUUGCAGCAGCUGCACACAUGCCACUCCACCACAUGCGUACACACCGACGCGCUCCUGUGCAUCCCAGGCAAAACAAAGGAAGAGGCGAAAGGUACAAGUGCGCAUGCGCGCGCGUUUCUUCUUCGCGCCGACCUCCUCGGGCUCGAGGGAGUUUUCUCCCGCCGUGAUGCGCUGGCACCCUCCACGGUGUGCGGGACGCCAUGCGGUAGCGCUGGGGGCGGGCCGUUGAUGUCAGGGAACGCAAAGCGGCUGAAGAGACGUGGCGGUGAUGCUGCUCCCUCCCAUACGGGUAUCACGCAACCCGCGGCAAAGCCGGCUCUGCUACCAGGGGCUUAAACACACGAAUUUCUGUCGGCAUUGUAGGGAAGCACGGCCGCCUAUCUCUUCGAUGAUGCACGUCUCGUACAUUCAACCCCUUGCCUUCUUCGUUAUCCGAUCUCUUCAUUUUCCUCCACUCUUGCCUCGAGAACACAG